UACGGAGGUCCAAAGCGUUGUUCGGAUUCACUGGGCGUAAAGGGUGCGUAGGUGGUUGGGUAAGUUUGAUGUGAAAUCUCCGGGCUUAACCCGGAAAUGGCAUUGAAUACUAUUCGACUGGAGGGUUGGAGGGGGGACUGGAAUUCUCGGUGUAGCAGUGAAAUGCGUAGAUAUCGAGAGGAACACCAGUGGCGAAGGCGAGUCCCUGGACAACUCCUGACACUGAGGCACGAAAGCUAGGGGAGCAAACGGG
This 253-nucleotide ribosomal RNA is filed under the name uncultured bacterium. RNAcentral describes it as "partial 16S ribosomal RNA". It matches the Rfam family "Bacterial small subunit ribosomal RNA", at positions 524 to 776 of the family's 1533-position model. The record is from RNAcentral.